This 494-nucleotide ribosomal RNA is filed under the name uncultured bacterium. RNAcentral's name for it is "partial 16S ribosomal RNA". It matches the Rfam family "Bacterial small subunit ribosomal RNA", at positions 28 to 507 of the family's 1533-position model. The record is from RNAcentral.
GACGAACGCUGGCGGCGUGCUUAACACAUGCAAGUCGAACGGUGAAGCGCCUUCCUUUUUGGUGGGUGUGGAUGAGCGGCGAACGGGUUAGUAACACGUUAGUAACCUGCUACCUUCUUCUGGACAACCGCAUGACAGAGUGACUAAUACGGGAUAUUCUGGGUCUGUCGCAUGAUGGGUCUGGGACAGAUAUGGUUUCGGUGGUGGAUGGGGCCGCGGCGUAUCAGCUUGUUGGUGGGGUGACGGCCUACCAAGGCGGUGAAGAGUAGCCGGCCUGAGAGGAUCGACGGCCACACAGGGGCGACGACACCGACCCGCCUACGACAGGAGGCAGCAGGGAGGAAUAUUGAACGAGGGGAGCAAGGAUGAUGCAGCGACGCGGCGGGAGGGAUGGUGGCCUGAGGGUUGUGAACCUCUUUCGCCGGAGAAGAAGGGUUGCCUCGUCUGUGGGUGGGUUGACGGUAGCUGGAUAAAAAGCGCCGGCUAACUACGUG